Molecule: long non-coding RNA, 1570 nt
Filed under: Amphibalanus amphitrite
Lineage: Eukaryota; Metazoa; Arthropoda; Thecostraca; Balanomorpha; Balanidae
Description: uncharacterized LOC122364202
Source: RNAcentral
GGAAUAUAUAACUAGUCUACGACAUGGAAUGGACAGAUCGCGAUUUAACCACGUUAAACGUGUAACUCGAAAGUAACCAAGGAGGCGCCCGUAUUAUAAACGCACACAGUGCUCUCGCGCUAGAAAAUCAAAUAUUUUUCGCAAAACCACGAACAAAACUCGACAACCUAAACAUGGCCUUGACCUAAACAAAAUUCGACAUUCUUGUGCAGCAGUGAUUCAAGGAUAGAGUCGACGGCUUAUUUAGUACUGGUAACGGUGAUUUACCGUUAAUCUUCUCAUUCAUUUGAUUUUUUUUUUUGUACUUUUUUAUUGUGAUAGGAGUAUGAAUGAGUUUGCGGAUUGGCGUUUUUUAUCGCGAAUUUGUGAGCUUAAAAAGUGAUGUGGCCCAGCGCGGUUCACUGCGGCUACUGCCAAAAGGCGAUAUCAAAAUCGCAACUGUCUAGACACCGGAGAAGGCCAAGAUUACUUUACCGAGAAGGCUGCAUCCGUGGCUGCCUACGACCCGACCCGGCCCGGCCGGCCCCGCAAAAGCGAAGCGCAACCGGCUGAUGGUAUCCUUCGCCAGUGGAGCUGCUGCUUCUGGCUGCAGGCACAUUGGCCAUUGCCGGGUUCGGUCUAGGCACACCAGCCUGCCCCGACACCGACGAGUGACGGCGAUUUUCCCGUCGCCCCUGAGGGGCCAGCCAGACCCGUCGAUGCGGCGACCGCGGUACCAGCUGACGCUGUCGAGCAAGAUCGCGCGCAUUUCACUGGUACUGCAUCGCAGUGUCGCCACCAUGCACGGAGGACGCCAGAGGACGGCCCGUCAGUCUUUACGGCCCGUGCGCUGGGCCGGCACGGGCCACACGCUCGGUAAAGUAGCUGGCCUGCGCACGCAGCUCGACAUCAUCUGUGGUGUCAUCCCAGCCUUUCUUCACGGCCCGCGCGCUGGGCCGGCGCGGGUCACACGCUCUGUGAAGUAGCUGGCCUGCGCACGCAGCUCGACAUCAUCUGUGGUGUCAUCCCAGCCUUUCGUCAGAUCAUUCACUCGUUGCUUCAGCCAUGCCGCCGCCGGCCGCAGUCAUCCGGCCACGGGGGAGAUAAGUGAUAGGCUGACCACACCACAAGAACAGUGCUCUCCGUGCAAAUAUCACGACCGGAAGUGCGCGAGCUACUGACUGGGAGACGGCGCUCGCGCUGACGCUGUUUCCUCGACGUUUAUGCAGCUCCUGGCGAGGUGACCGGUCUUGCUGCAGGUCUAAUAACGCCGUGCCCGGACCGCCGUGGACCGUGGCGACCCGCUGGUCUGACCGACCGGCCGGUGUCUUGGCGUCUCACACCCGCUGCUGCCGAGAACACAUUCGUCACUCAGCACUGACCGCGCCAUGAUGCUGGCCAGAUCUGCAGGCCUUUUGCGCGCGUGUCGGCCCGAAUUGUGCUGCUAACGGCGUCUGGUAGCCUGGCGAUGAAAGCACUGGCGAUAAAAGCACCUACCCGAAUGCAAGCCGAGUGCAGCAAAAGAUGCUCCUCCAGUGUGGAAACCGAGCGUCGUGCGCGCUCCAAAUUUUAAUACAACCAAUCUUUGCAG